Molecule: long non-coding RNA, 753 nt
Organism: Panicum virgatum (switchgrass)
Lineage: Eukaryota; Viridiplantae; Streptophyta; Magnoliopsida; Poales; Poaceae
Exons: 4
Source: RefSeq, a predicted model, not a curated record
AACCGUGCCUACUCCAGAGCCAUGGAGAUGUUGCUGCACCUCUCGCGAGAAAGAGGCCCAACAACGAGAUAAACCAACCCCACCGUCGCAUCUCCUCCUCAACUCAAAAGAAGAAAGAAAAAUCCAGGACCACUUCCGCUAUUCCCCAACCCUAGCGACUCGAAACAGUGCGACGCUUGUGAUUUUCCGCCGGCGACAAGGAAGAGCAUCGACGAAUCACCGAAAUAGUGCCAACAGAAAAAAAGAAGAAGAUAUGAUCAACUAAAAAUAAAGAGAAGAAGAUGAGCCUCACCUUGCUCGCUCAACUACUUCCAAUACCUGCACAUUGUAGCAGCACCUCCUCCACUGCAGGGUCAAGCAAGCAGGACCCUGCAAGCAUUGUUGCCUGCACCAGCACCACCUCCGCGCAUCCACUUCCAACUCCAGCUCCAGGUUCUAUAUUGUCCAGCAGAUCUGUUCCUUGCAAAAAGGAGCUACAUCUCUGGGUGAAGAGUGAAACAGUCAUAGAGCCGGUUCCUACAAAUCAUGAACCCACCUCCAUCUAAACACUCCCCCAUCCACAGGGACAAGCGUAUACUGUUACUCAUCUUAGUGCCCGGAAUCAUGAACAUUCAGAGUUGUGCAGUAAUUCAAAAGUGCAAAUAAAUUUGGCAUGUAAUCUUCUCUUUAUGUAAAACACAUUUUCAUAUCAUUUCUAUUGGUGAACUACAAUUCUUAUGUCUGGUACUACUUAAUUUCUAAUAUAUUUCUACU